GCUCUCCUUCCCUUUUGUAAGCCUGAAUAAUAUACUUCACCUAUAAGUGGCUGGAAAUGGCUUGAUCAUAGUGUAAAAAAUGUUAUUCUCAGGUAUCUUAUGGAGAAUAUGUCAAUCUAGUUGGUGAAAUGGAAGGAAGAGAUGUAUGUACUCAACAUCAAUUAAUUUAAGAUUUAGCUUCAUUAAGCACUCACUUAUUGUUAAGGGCAUAACCACAUGAUAUUUUAUUGCCAAGUAAAACAUAGAUUUAUAUUAAAAUGCAAUAGCAGAUAUAUAAUCUAGUAGUUUCUUGAACACAUUUCCAGUCUCAGAGAAAUAUAAUAAGGUUUAGAAUAUAGUGUACUACCUGCUUCACCCUUAGUGUGGGUUAGGAUAUUAGGGUACAGAACUGAAAAUUUUGGGGUGAAAUUUUAUCAUUACCUUGUAGGGGAUUGUUAGUUAUUACAGAAAGAGGGUUAAGAAUAGACAGUGAAUGUGAUGUAGUGUGAACAGGUAUAGAAAAGUCAACAAAGGUUGGCUAUAGUUUUAGAGGGAAAUAGUUAGGCUGUUAUAACUGCCUCAACAGGCCCGGAAAGUGAGAAUAAAAAGGGGAAGCCACUCUUGUGUUCAGUAUGCUAUUUUUUCAAGAAUCAAUACAACUCUCUCUCACUCUCUCUCGCUCUUCUCUCUCUUCCUCUCGCUCUUCUCUCUCUUCUAUCUUCUCUCCUAAAUUCUGUUCUCCUUUCUCUAAAUUCUCUCUGUUAGGUUCCUAACCUUACAAUUGGUAUCAAAGCCUGUGUUGGAUUGAAUCGCAAAGGUUGAUACUGCCAUAGUCAGUCAAGGAGUGUGCUGGCCGAGAUCGAGGAGCAAUUCAGAGCCUUCCAGUCGCAAUUUCAAGGAUCAAGAAAAGAAGUAGAAGUACUCCAAUCAGAAUUCAAGAACCUACAAGUUGGAGUUAAAUAUGACAUGGAUGGUGUGAAGAAGGAAAUUCAAGAAACAAAGAAUUCUGUAACUUGGAGAAUUCCAUUGAUGAGGUAAAGGUUUUGGUGAUAGGAAUGAAUGCUACAAUGAUGAAGGCCAAUUCCAAUGGCUCCCAAGGAGACAAUGGAGUGCAAAACUCAGGAAUUCUGCCAUUUCCCAAAGAAUCAAGUUCUCAGCAGGGCAGAGAUCUUGCGCUAAGAGCUGAAUUUGGAAGUGCAGGUUUAUGAAAAAGAUUAUUCCUAAAGUUGAACUGAGUUCUUAUGAUGGCAUUGAACCGAGAGAAUGGAUUAGAAAAUGCCUUAAAAAUUUUCAAGUUUGUGAUGUUUCAAGGGAAAAAAUGGUAGAAAUGGCUAGUUUGUGUCUAGUGGAUAGGACUGAUGCAUGGUUUAAUAACCGGAAUAGAGGAAAUCAAAAUCCAUCCCGGGAACAAUUUGAAGAAGCCUUAGGGAAAAGAUUUAGGGACCUAAGGGUUGAGGAUAUUGUGGAGGAAGAAGCCUUAUGGAAAAGAUUUAGGGACCUAGGGGUUGAGGAUACUGUGGAGGAAUUUAUGAGAUUGAUGCAAGAAGGCAGUAUAGAGAAGUACCAAGACAGACUUGAGAAUAUCAGGGUUAGAAUGGAAAGGGUGUUGCCUGAGUUAGGGGAAUCCUAUUUCCUUUCAGGAUUUAUUGAAGGAUUAAGGGAUGAAAUAAAGCCAAUGGUGAAGAUGUUGAGACAUAUUGAUUUAACUCAUGCGAUUGAGGAAGCAAGAUUGCAAGAAAUGUUACUGUUAAGUACAAGCAAGGGCCCGUACACUACCAAAACCCCUUAUUCUCAAACAAAGCCUAUCACCAACAAUUAUAAUUCCUUUAAAACAUCCCAAUUGCAUAAGAAUUUUCCUUAUGUGACAAAGCCUCCAAAUGACAGCAUCUCAGUCAAUAAAACAACCAUUGCAAUCCCCAAGCCAGCAAACUCUAACCAAAGCUCUUCUAUCACUCAACUUGCAACUAAAUCCAACCAGCCAACUAGUAAUCUCAGCAUGAGGGUCCCAAGCCUUGUUUCAGUUGUGGAGAAAAGUACUUAUGUGGCCACCAAUGUAAGCCAAGUCUGUUAUGUUAUUACAGGCUGAUCAUCAAGUUUCAGAAGGCAUGGAGAAAGAAGAAACUGAAGUGGCAGCGAACCUGGAAGAACCAGAAGGAGAGCAGGACAUUACUGUGUCUGUAUAGAAGGAAAGCAAGGUGUGAACGCCAUUAGGCUGAUUGGGAGCUAUAAGGACAACCAACUCAUGAUUCUGGUAGACAGUGGAAGCACAAACAGUUUCAUUGAUGAGAAAGUGGCCAAGAUCUUGAAACUGCCACUAAUGCAAGUCCCUUUGGCUCCCAUAAUCACAACAUACCUUUAGUACCAAGAACUAGCCUAUUAAUGUUAGGCCAUGUAGAUACCCCCAUUGCUAGAAAAAUGAGAUAGAAACACUGGUCUCUAAGAUGCUAGAAUCUAGAGUAAUUUAACCAAGUACUAGUCUUUUUUGCUCUCCAGUUUUACUAGUUAAAAAGAAAGAUGGGUCUUAGAGAUUUUGCAUAGACUACGUGAAUUAAAUGAGGCUAUUGUCAAAAAUAAAUUUUCUAUCCCCAUAAUUGAUGAUUUGCUAGAUGAAUUACAUGGGACUGCUUGGUUUUCUAAGAUCGAUUGAGAGCUGGUUACCACCAAAUCAGGAUGGACACUCUUGAUAUUGCCAAGACACCCUUCAAAAAACACCAUGGUCAUUUUGAGUUCACUGGCAUGCCAUUUGAGCUAACAAAUGCACUUGCCACCUUUCAAGCUUUAAUGAAUCACAUCUUUCAACCUGAAAGUUUGUGUUGGUAUUCUUCGAUGACAUACUGAUUUACAAUAAAGAUAUAAAGAGCCAUUUAUAGCAUUUAGAGGCAGUCUUUCAAGUCCUCCAGUAGCAACAUCUCCUUGCAAAUAUGUCCAAGUGAUCUUUUGGCAGAAAUAAGGUGGAUUACUUGGGACACAUAACAGUGCAGAGGGUGUUGCAAUUGAUUCCACCAAGGUAGAAGCAAUGCUGAAUUGGCCAGCCCUUAGUUCUAUUAAAAAAUUGAGAAGCUUUUUAGACAGGCUAUUAUAGAAAGUUUGUGAAGGGAUAUGGAUUGAUCAGCAAGCCCUUGAUAGACUUGCUCAAGAAGGAGGGGUUCCAUUGGUCUCCAACUACACAGGGAGCCUUUGAUAGGCUCAGAAAUGCAAUGGCUUCUGCCCCUAUUUUAGCCCUACCAGAUUUUACUAAGGAAUUUGUGGUAGAAACUAACGCGAGCAGUGAAGGAAUAAAGGCUGUGUUACAGUAGGAUGGGCACCAUAUAGCUGUCAUCUCAAGGGCAUUCGGGGCUAGGAAUAAAGGACUUUUUAUAUAUGACAAGGAGUUAUUGGCAAUCACAUUUGUUGUGAGUAAAUGGAGGCAAUAUCUUGAGCAAGGAACCUUCUACAUCAAAAACCAUGAGAGUAUCAAAUACUUGUUAGAACAAAGGCUGCAUACUAACUUUCAGCAGAGGGGCAUUUCUAAAUUGCUGGGGCUAGAUUACAAGAUCCUUUGUGGCCGAUGCCCUCUCUAGACAAUUGGUCUCAGCAACCUCUCAAUUAUGUGCAACCUCUUCUGUGGUGGUCCUUACUUGGAGGUCCACACUUGCUGCUGAGAGUUACAACAAGGAUGCUAAGGCUGCACAUCUGAUUUCACAACUAUCCUUGGAUGCAAAUGCUGUACCUGGAUUUCAGUAUAAGCAAUGGUUGUUAUACUAUAAAGAUAGACACUAUGUCAGGUUAUUUGUUAAUUUGCAGCAGCAUCUUCUAGCUAUGUAUCAUAAUAGCCUUGAACAACACCUCUGUUGGCCUAAAUUGCACUCAUGUUUUGACGUGUGCAACAAUGUUCGGUGCAACUCAGGAACAGAGCCACUCAUGGGCCAAGGGGGCCAUGGACCCCCCUCAAAUUUUUGAAAUUUUUUAAGGGUAUAUAGGUAAUUUUUCUUAAAACAUGAAAAAUUAUUAUUAGAUCCCUACAUGUUUAAAAAAACUUACCAACUCAUCGUAUUUCAAAAUUAUUUAAUUAAAUCAUCAUUAUAUUUUGUAAGAUCAAACUCUUUAAUCUAUUUGUUAAAGAAAUUUUUACUAUUUAGUCCCUCAUCUUCUAUGUUAUUUUUCAAUCCAAAAAAUUUGUUUCUCAUUUUCAAAAUUUCAAGUUCACGUCUUCAUUUAAAUUUUUUCUUAGGUUAUUCAUUCAUUAUUUAAUUUUAUAUACCAUUUUUAUUAUUAAGUGGUAUUUUUUAUUUAUUUAUCUCACUUAGUUAUUAAUCUAUUUAAAUGAUUGAAAUUAUACAAAAAUAAAUUUUAAUGGGUUAGAAUUUUUUUUUUUUUUUUUUUAAUUUUCAAUAGUAAAUCAUGUAUUAAAAUAUUAUAUUAUUUUAAUAGUAUUUAUUUUUUUCUAUGGGUUUGCAUGUUACAACCAUAGCGAAAAGAAAUUUUUCUGCGGUAAUAAAUCAUAAAUAAUUGAUCGAUAACUGAUAUUGAAAGAUAUAUUUGCAAAUGCUGACAAUGAUAUUAUUAAGAAUAUAUUUUAAUCAAUGAAAAAUAGAUGAGAAUGACCAUGAUUUAAUUAUAAUAGUUUAUUCACUUUUUAUAAAAAUUUAUUUUUUGAAUACGUAUUUAUUUUAUACUCACUUUAUUCUAUAAUUUUUGUCCAUUUUGAUUUUUCAUACAUAUUAAAAAAGGCAAUUUGUUUUAUUGAUUUUCCAAUGAUACUAUUUUAAAAAUAUUAAACUUUAUUAAAUAUUAAGAAAUAUUUUGAAUACUUAUUUAGAAAAAUAAUAAUUAAUGAUAGGUUGAUUUGAAAUAACAUAAAAUUAAAUAGGAUUAUAAUAAUCAAUUAUGUUACUAUAAUAAAAGAAAGUGAACAAUAAUUUUGGAAAAAUAAUAAAAAAAAAUCGACAAAAUAAUAAAACAGAAGACAUUUAUUUAAAUUUGGCUCCCUUGAACUGAAUUUCUUCAUCCGGCACUGUCUGGACUCUUUUAGCCUCUUCUAGUGCCUUCUCAAGCUUGGCAACACAUCCAUGGAUUUUAUAGAGUAGCUACCUAAGUUAAGGGAAAAGGACAUCAUUCUAGUGGUGGUUUAUAGAUUCACUAAGUAUGGCCACUUCCUUUUCUCAACACAUCCCUUUAUUGCCUCCUCAAUAGCUAAAAUUUUCAUGGAGAAUAUUUACAAGCUACAUGGAGCUCUUGCCUCUAUUAUAUCAGACAUAGACAAACUUUUUACAAGUGUAUUUUGGAAGGAAUUCUUCAAGCAGAUAGGUGUUCCUCUGUCCUUUAGCAGUACCUAUCAUCCUCAAACGGAUGGUCAAAUAGAACGCAUGAACCAGUGCUUGGAGUGUUGCUUGAGGUGCAUGCUGCAGCAGCAGCAGUCAUCUUGGAGUGAAUGGUUGGCCCUUGGUGAAUGGUGGUACGAUUCUAGCUUCCACAGUGCCAUCAAAAUGUCACCCUUUGAAGCUUUGUAUGGUACAAACCACCUUCACUUCCAGGUACUAGAGCUGAUAAUUCACCAGUACAGGUUGUAGAAGAUCUUUUCCAGCAAAGGUAGCUGGUGCUCAGGCUAUUAAAGGAUAAUUUAGAACAGGUCGGGUGUCGAAUGAAGCAGUAAGCUGAUAAAAAGAGAAGUGAAAGGGAGUUCUAGGUGGGAGACUGGGUCUACUUGAAGCUUCAGCCAUACAAACAAACUUCAGUCGCCUUGAGGAAAAGCUUGAAAUUAGCAGCCAAGUAUCAUGAGCCAGUUUUUAUUGAGGAAAAAAUUGGGAAAGUGGCUUAUCAGCUCCAGCUACCUCCAUCCACAGCCAUACAUUCUGUCUUCUAUGUGUCCCUCCUCAAGAAAAAUUGGGGCAUAAUGUUGUGCCCCCAGUUACAGUUCCCCACCAUUGUAGAGGAAGAGGCUGUAGUAGCACCAAAAGACAUCCUUUAGCUAAGAACCAUUUCUAGGAAUGGCCAAUUGGUACUGCAGGACUCAUUAAAUGGACUAAUCUAGUCACUGAAGAUGCAACGUGGGAAGAUCAAGCUUUCAUUCAAGCUCAAUUUCCUGACUUUAAUGGGGGCAAGAAUGCUCUCUAGAGAAGGGUAUUGUUACAUAUUACAGAAAGAGGGUUAAGAGUAGAAAGUGAAUGUGAUGUAGUGUGAACAGGUAUAAAAAAGUCAACAAAGGUUGGCUGUAGUUUUGGAGGGAAAUAGUUAGGCAGUUGAGAAUAAAAAGCGGAAGCUACUCUUGUAUUCAGUAUGCUAUUUUUUUAAGAAUCAAUACAACUCUCUCUCUCUCUCUCUCUCUUCUAUCUUGUCUCUCAAAUUCUGUUCUCCUUUCUCUAUAUUCUCUCUGUUAGGUUCUUAACCUAACAGGGAUGUCUUGAGUUAGAUGGUUGUGAUUAUUACAUGUGGUGGUGGUAUC
Molecule: long non-coding RNA, 6400 nt
Filed under: Manihot esculenta (cassava)
Lineage: Eukaryota; Viridiplantae; Streptophyta; Magnoliopsida; Malpighiales; Euphorbiaceae
Description: long non-coding RNA (MESC_LNC003837)
Source: RNAcentral